Long non-coding RNA from Trachymyrmex septentrionalis, 97 nucleotides. RefSeq lists it as uncharacterized. The transcript is spliced from 4 exons. NCBI's taxonomy places the organism in Eukaryota, Metazoa, Arthropoda, Insecta, Hymenoptera, Formicidae. The record is from RefSeq and is a predicted model, not a curated record.
GAUUUUCGUGUUAAACAACAUUAUAUUUCCUGGAGAAUCAAAUCGGUUCCGGACAGUUGUGAAACUUCCCUUGUAAGUAUAUAAACAAAUCAUAUUA